GUGAGAAAUUACUUCCAUGAAGUAGCAGUGUGUAGGUGUUCUAAAUUUCCAACAAUUAAGAUUAAAUAGUUUCACACAAUGUGAUACAAUUUCCUGUAAUUGCCUGAUAAUUCAUUUUAUUUCUAACACCUCCUUUAUACUUAAUUAUAGCAGCUUCUAGAAGCAAGUUACUUUGUAAUUUGUUGGAAAGUACUGGCGAUUCCAGUUUUAUUUGAUGGAGGAUAUUAAGCAGCACCUACUUAUUAAUGCUUUAACAUUCAGUUGGAUGAACAGUCUAAAUUGAAAAGAUGACAUUGAAGUGAUAUACAUACACAUCUAAAGAAUGUCCAAUGAUUUAGUUUUGAGGCUAAAAAAAUACAUGUUUAAUUGAGCUGAAUAUACUUUAUUUUUCAGAUGGAGAAAUCAAUUAUUCUAUUGCUCUGGUUACAAUAUGUUGUUAAGAUCUCAAAAAGUUUCUGUCAUAUGCCAACGAAUAAUAAAACAACAGCAGUUUUUAUUGAAUGGGAUGAAUUUCCUAAGGCAGGAAAUCCUGAAUUUUAUUUUUUAAAAUACCAACUUGUUAAUAAUUUUGCUGAAAAAAAUAUCAAAAGCAUUCUUGUAAAUCCACAAGAGCUUUCAAAAUCAAUAACAUUAGAGGAAAAUGAAGACUAUCACAUCAUUCUACAGUCCCUAAAAUAUGGACAAAUUUUAAGUGAAAAGUCAUUUAAAGUCCGUAAGUAAUAUAUAUUUGUUGUUUGUCUGUAUUGCCUAAUUGUAAAAAGGAAACAAUUUUAUUACCAGGUAAUCUGAAUUUUGUAGUAGUUAACAGUCAUAUAAUGGUCCAAAAUUACAUCAUGAUGAUAGUGUUUUGUGUUUUUUUAACAUAUGUAAAUUUCAAAAUUUAAAGGAAAUUAUAUAUUAAGAAGAAGAUUUUAAUUUCUGACAUUUGAUGUGUACUAAUAUGAAUAGAUAGGCAUAGCAGAGAUGUUACAUGCAAUCUAGAUUAUCUAAAAAUAUUAUAAUGCAGAUUUGUAAUCUAAGUCAUUUAUUUUAAGCAGGGGACAAGAAACUCUCAUAUAGUCUAGAAAGUAUUUUAUAGUAGAUAAUUUGCUCUCCUAUCAUAGUCAUUCUUUUGUGACUCAACAUCUUUUGUGUUUCAUUCAGUUUUAUUUGAAUCCAACUAAUUAUUGUUCUUGACUUUUUUUUUUUAGGUAGUUUCUCAACUAGCAAUAUUAAAACAGUAGUGACAAGCACGAGUGUUUCUUUUAAUUGGAGUGUACUGUCUUCCAAUGACAUUUCAGUGUCAAUAUCUCUCAAUAAUUCUUCACAAAUUAUGCCAAAUAAUGUUACAGUUAAUGAGUGGGAUAAUUUAAAACCUAGAAGCCUAUAUACUUUUAAAUUUGAAUUUAAACAGUUGUAUUUGGAUUUUAUAAAUAUAUUGCAGAGACUGGAUGUUCAAGUAGAAACAGGUAUGCAAAUAUCGGGUUCAUUAUUAAUAUAUUAUAUAUCUUGUAGAUAACUU
RNAcentral lists this long non-coding RNA (1501 nucleotides) under Mustela putorius furo (domestic ferret). RNAcentral describes it as "lncRNA (ENSMPUG00000031593.1)". The record is from RNAcentral. Lineage: Eukaryota; Metazoa; Chordata; Mammalia; Carnivora; Mustelidae.